UCCUGGUUUCCCAGGCAGUUCCGUUAAAGUGCCUUACUUACGUAAGUAGCAACUAACAGCAAGGGUUGCGCUCGUUAAAGGACUUAACCCAACAUCUCACGACACGAGCUGACGACAGCCAUGCAGCACCUGUUCUUGUGUCUUGACCGAAGCCAAGAACGUCACAUCUCUGUGACUGUCACAAGUAUGUCAAACCCAGGUAAGGUUCCUCGCGGAGUGUCGAAUUAAACCACAUGUUCCACCGCUUGUGCGGACCCCCGUCAAUUCCUUUAAGUUUUAGCCUUGCGACCGUACUUCCCAGGCGAAUCACUUAACGCGUUAGCUACGACACUAAUCCAGCAAGCCAGACUAACAUCUAGUGAUUAUCGUUUACAGCGUGGACUAC
RNAcentral lists this unclassified non-coding RNA (385 nucleotides) under uncultured bacterium. RNAcentral describes it as "contains 16S-23S intergenic spacer region". The record is from RNAcentral.